CAGCAGCCGCGGGAAUACGGAGGGGGCUAGCGUUGUUCGGAAUUACUGGGCGUAAAGCGCACGUAGGCGGCUUGGUAAGUUAGAGGUGAAAGCCUGGAGCUCAACUCCAGAAUUGCCUUUAAGACUGCCGAGCUAGCAGGUGAGAGAGGUAAGUGGAAUUCCGAGUGUAGAGGUGAAAUUCGUAGAUAUUCGGAAGAACACCAGUGGCGAAGGCGGCUUACUGGCUCAUACUGGACGCUGAGGUGCGAAAGCGUGGGGAGCAAACAGGAUUAGAUACCCGCGUAGUCCCUGUCUCUUAUAC
RNAcentral lists this ribosomal RNA (301 nucleotides) under uncultured bacterium. RNAcentral's name for it is "partial 16S ribosomal RNA". It matches the Rfam family "Bacterial small subunit ribosomal RNA", at positions 509 to 807 of the family's 1533-position model. The record is from RNAcentral.